This 2265-nucleotide ribosomal RNA is filed under the name human gut metagenome. Its description in RNAcentral is "bacterial LSU rRNA". It matches the Rfam family "Bacterial large subunit ribosomal RNA", at positions 45 to 2401 of the family's 2925-position model. The record is from RNAcentral.
GCCGAUGAAAGACGUGAUAAGCUGCGAUAAGCUUCGGGGAGCUGCAAAUAAGCAUUGAUCCGGAGAUUUCUGAAUGAGGAAACUCACCUGGGUUCAUACUCAGGUACGUUGUACUGAAAUUCAAAAUAGGUACAUCGGGGGAACCGCCUGAACUGAAACAUCUAAGUAGGGCGAGGAAGAGACAUCAAACGAGAUUCCGUAAGUAGUGGCGAGCGAACGCGGAAGAGGGCAAACCGGAGGUAGAAAUACCUUCGGGGUACGGACUGCUUUUAGGACUCGAUCUGUUAACCGAACGGCAUGGGAAGGCCGGUCAGAGAGUGUGAGAACCACGUAGGUGAAAACGGAAAGAGCUGCGCAGAUUCCAGAGUACGGCCAGACACGUGAAACCUGGUCGGAAGAUGGGGGGACCACCCUCCAACCCUAAAUACUACCCAGUGACCGAUAGCGUAUAGUACUGUGAAGGAAAGGUGAAAAGCACCCCGGGAGGGGAGUGAAAAAGAACCUGAAACCCUGUGCCUACAAGCACCUAGAGCACGUCAAAGUGUGAUAGGGUACUUUUUGUAGAACGGUCCGGCGAGCGAUUGUAUGCAGCAAGGUUAAGGACUUAAGGUCUGGAGCCGAAGCGAAAGCGAGUUUGAAAAGGGCGUUAAGUUGCAUAUAAUGGGCCCGAAACCGGGUGACCUACCCAUGGUCAGGUUGAAGUGGAAGUAAAAUUCCAUGGAGGACCGAACCGACCUCCGUUGAAAAGGCGGCGGAUGAACUGUGGGUAGCGGAGAAAUUCCAAUCGAACCCGGAGAUAGCUGGUUCUCCCCGAAAUAGUUUUAGGACUAGCCUCAAGUUAGAUACCUGGAGGUAAAGCACUGAAUAGCCUAGCGGCCGAGAGGUUAGCGAAGCUUAUCAAACUCAGAAUGCCAGAGUAUUGAUGCUUGGGAGUCAGACAGUGUCAGAUAAAUGUCAUUGUCAAAAGGGAAACAGCCCAGAUCUACAGCUAAGGUCCCAAAGUCAGGUUAAGUGGAAAACGAUGUGAAGAUACGCAGACAACCAGGAUGUUGGCUCAGAAGCAGCCACUCAUUCAAAGAGUGCGUAAUAGCUCACUGGUCGAGCGUCUUUGCGCGGAGAAUUUAACGGGGCUAAACCUGACACCGAAGCUUAGGCAAUCCAGCAAUGGAUUGGGUAGGGGAGCGUUGUAUACGCGGAGAAACAGUAGCGUAAGCGGCUGUGGAGUGUAUAGAAGUGAGAAUGCCGGAAUGAGUAGCGCGAAUGCAGUGAGAAUCUGCAUGGCCGAAAGCCUCAGGUUUUUGGAGGAAGGUUCGUCCGCUCCAAGUUAGUCGGGAGCUAAGGUGAGGCCGGAAGGCGUAGCCGAUGCACAGACGGUAGAGAUUCCGUCACCACCAAAAGAGUUAAGCACAGGGACACAUUUGAAGUCUCAGAGCCGGGUGUUGGUUCCGGUAGAGAUCGAGGGAAGUUAGUACCGAAGUCUGGGAUGGAAGAUGGCGAGAAAAGCUGUGUGUAUUUCUGAGGUGCCCGUACCGCAAACCGACACAGGUAGGUAGGAAGAAGAUUCUAAGGCCAACGGGAGAAGGGUUGUUAAGGAACUCGGCAAAUUGACCCCGUAACUUCGGGAGAAGGGGUGCUCCAGAGAUGGAGCCGCAGAGAAUCGGCCCAAGCAACUGUUUACCAAAAACACAGGUUUGUGCUAAAUCGAAAGAUGACGUAUACGAGCUGACGCCUGCCCGGUGCUGGAAGGUUAAGAGGAGAUGUGCAAGCAUUGAAUCGAAGCCCCAGUGAACGGCGGCCGUAACUAUAACGGUCCUAAGGUAGCGAAAUUCCUUGUCAGGUAAGUUCUGACCCGCAUGAAAGGCGUAAUGAUUUGGGCACUGUCUCAACAGCCCGCCCGGCGAAAUUGUAGUACCGGUGAAGAUGCCGGUUACCCGCGACAAGACGGAAAGACCCCAUGGAGCUUUACUGUAGCCUAAUAUUGGGUUUCGAUGUUGCAUGCACAGGAUAGAUGGGACACAGGGAAACAAUCGCUUUGGCGGUUGCGGAGUGGCCGUUGGGAUACCAUCCUUGCGAUAUUGGAAUUCUAACCUGCGGCUCUGAAUCGAGUCGGGGGACAUUGUUAGGUGGGCAGUUUGACUGGGGCGGUCGCCUCCUAAAAAGUAACGGAGGCGUUCAAAGGUUCGCUCAGCUUGAACGGAAAUCAAGCAAAAGAGUGCAAACGCAGAAGCGAGCCUAACUGCGAGACUGACGGGUCGAGCAGUAACG